This 486-nucleotide ribosomal RNA is filed under the name uncultured bacterium. RNAcentral's name for it is "partial 16S ribosomal RNA". It matches the Rfam family "Bacterial small subunit ribosomal RNA", at positions 30 to 507 of the family's 1533-position model. The record is from RNAcentral.
AUUGAACGCUGGCGGCAUGCCUUACACAUGCAAGUCGAACGGCAGCACGGGUGCUUGCACCUGGGGGCGAGUGGCGAACGGGUGAGUAAUACAUCGGAACAUGUCCUUAAGUGGGGGAUAGCCCGGCGAAAGCCGGAUUAAUACCCCAUACGAUCUCCGGAUGAAAGCGGGGGCCCUUCGGGCCUCGCGCUAAAGGGUUGGCCGAUAGCUGAUUAGCUAGUUGGUGGGGUAAAGGCCUACCAAGGCGACGAUCAGUAGCUGGUCUGAGAGGACGACCAGCCACACUGGGACUGAGACACGGCCCAGACUCCUACGGGAGGCAGCAGUGGGGAAUUUUGGACAAUGGGCGAAAGCCUGAUCCAGCAAUGCCGCGUGUGUGAAGAAGGCCUUCGGGUUGUAAAGCACUUUUGUCCGGAAAGAAAUCCUUGGCUCUAAUACAGUCGGGGGAUGACGGUACCGGAAGAAUAAGCACCGGCUAACUACGUG